This 248-nucleotide unclassified non-coding RNA is filed under the name uncultured Chaetomiaceae. Its description in RNAcentral is "sequence contains ITS2". The stretch from base 1 to 52 matches the Rfam family "5.8S ribosomal RNA", at positions 103 to 154 of the family's 154-position model. The record is from RNAcentral. Lineage: Eukaryota; Fungi; Ascomycota; Sordariomycetes; Sordariales.
AACGCACAUUGCGCCCGCCAGUAUUCUGGCGGGCAUGCCUGUUCGAGCGUCAUUUCAACCAUCAAGCCCCAGGCUUGUGUUGGGGACCUGCGGCUGCCGCAGGCCCUGAAAACCAGUGGCGGGCUCGCUGUCACACCGGGCGUAGUAGAUUUUAUCUCGCUCUGGGCGUGCUGCGGGUUCCGGCCGUUAAAAAACCCUUUUAACCCAAGGUUGACCUCGGAUCAGGUAGGAAUACCCGCUGAACUUAA